GGUAGCCUGGCCGAGGGAUCUAAGGUGCUGGAUUUAGGCUCCAGUCUCUUCGGGGGCGUGGGUUUGAAUCCCACCGCUGCCA
Molecule: non-coding RNA, 82 nt
Organism: Danio rerio (zebrafish)
Lineage: Eukaryota; Metazoa; Chordata; Actinopteri; Cypriniformes; Danionidae
Source: Rfam